RNAcentral lists this ribosomal RNA (253 nucleotides) under uncultured bacterium. RNAcentral describes it as "partial 16S ribosomal RNA". It matches the Rfam family "Bacterial small subunit ribosomal RNA", at positions 524 to 776 of the family's 1533-position model. The record is from RNAcentral.
UACGAGGGGGGCGAGCGUUGUUCGGAAUUAUUGGGCGUAAAGGGUGCGUAGGCGGUUUGGUAGGUCUGAUGUGAAAUCUAUGGGCUCAACUCAUAGUCUGCAUCGGAAACUGCCGGGCUUGAGUGUGGGAGAGGUGAGUGGAAUUCCUGGUGUAGCGGUGAAAUGCGUAGAUAUCAGGAGGAACACCUGUGGCGAAAGCGGCUCACUGGACCAUAACUGACGCUGAUGCACGAAAGCUAGGGGAGCAAACAGG